This 806-nucleotide ribosomal RNA is filed under the name uncultured bacterium. RNAcentral describes it as "bacterial SSU rRNA". It matches the Rfam family "Bacterial small subunit ribosomal RNA", at positions 8 to 796 of the family's 1533-position model. The record is from RNAcentral.
AGAGUUUGAUCCUGGCUCAGAACGAACGCUGGCGGCGUGCCUAACACAUGCAAGUCGAGCGCGAAUGGAGCAAUCCUAGUAGAGCGGCGCACGGGUGCGUAACACGUGGAUAAUCUGCCUGGGUGUCUGGGAUAACCAGUCGAAAGACUGGCUAAUACCGGAUAAGCCCCCGGGAGCUUCGGCUCUUGAGGGAAAAGGUGGCCUCUGUAUACAAGCUAUCACAUCCAGAUGAGUCCGCGGCCCAUCAGCUAGUUGGCGGGGUAAUGGCCCACCAAGGCAACGACGGGUAGCUGGUCUGAGAGGACGAUCAGCCACACUGGAACUGAGACACGGUCCAGACUCCUACGGGAGGCAGCAGUGGGGAAUUUUGCGCAAUGGGCGAAAGCCUGACGCAGCAACGCCGCGUGUGUGAUGAAGGUCUUCGGAUUGUAAAGCACUUUCGACCGGGACGAAAACCCUGAGGCUAACAUCCUCAGGCUUGACGGUACCGGGAGAAGAAGCACCGGCUAACUCUGUGCCAGCAGCCGCGGUAAUACAGAGGGUGCAAGCGUUGUUCGGAAUUAUUGGGCGUAAAGCGCGUGUAGGCGGCUUUGCAAGUCGGGUGUGAAAGCCCUCAGCUCAACUGAGGAAGUGCGCCCGAAACUGCAGAGCUUGAGUGCCGGAGAGGGUGGCGGAAUUCCCCAAGUAGAGGUGAAAUUCGUAGAUAUGGGGAGGAACACCGGUGGCGAAGGCGGCCACCUGGACGGUAACUGACGCUGAGACGCGAAAGCGUGGGGAGCAAACAGGAUUAGAUACCCUAGUAGUCC